This 467-nucleotide ribosomal RNA is filed under the name uncultured bacterium. RNAcentral's name for it is "partial 16S ribosomal RNA". It matches the Rfam family "Bacterial small subunit ribosomal RNA", at positions 28 to 506 of the family's 1533-position model. The record is from RNAcentral.
GACGAACGCUGGCGGCGUGCUUAACACAUGCAAGUCGAACGGAAAGGCCCUGCUUUUGUGGGGUGCUCGAGUGGCGAACGGGUGAGUAACACGUGAGUAACCUGCCCUUGACUUUGGGAUAACUUCAGGAAACUGGGGCUAAUACCGGAUAGGAGCUCCUGCUGCAUGGUGGGGGUUGGAAAGUUUCGGCGGUUGGGGAUGGACUCGCGGCUUAUCAGCUUGUUGGUGGGGUAGUGGCUUACCAAGGCUUUGACGGGUAGCCGGCCUGAGAGGGUGACCGGCAACAGUGGGACUGAGGUACGGCCCAGACGCCUACGGGAGGCAGCAGUGGGGAAUAGUGCACAAUGGGCGGAAGCCGGAUGCAGCAACGCCGCGUGCGGGAGGACGGCCUUCGGGGUGUAAACCGAUUUCGCCUGUGACGAAGCGUGAGUGACUGUAAUGGGUAAAGAAGCACCGGCUAACUACGU